UAUCUGGGACUCAUAUCAAUAAUCAUACUUAUAAAUCGUAGCAUAUCUAUAAUCAUCUCACAUAUAGGAGGCAUCUCACAUCUAGGAGACAUAAUAUCAACAAGCAUAUCGCCUCUAUUAGACAUCUCAUAUCUAUAGGUUAUGCAUCAUGACCAAGAGGAAAAUCAUCUCUAUAAGCUCAAUAAUCAUAACUAAGAAGAAAAUCAUAUCUAUGGGCCAAAUAUCAUAACUAAGAGAAAAAUGCAUCUCUAUAGGUAAAAUAUCAUAAUUAAGAGAAAAAUGCAUCUCUAUGGGCCAAAUCUCAUAAUU
This 309-nucleotide long non-coding RNA is filed under the name Capsicum annuum. RNAcentral's name for it is "long non-coding RNA (CANN_LNC018932)". Lineage: Eukaryota; Viridiplantae; Streptophyta; Magnoliopsida; Solanales; Solanaceae. The record is from RNAcentral.